Molecule: non-coding RNA, 337 nt
Organism: Pelobates cultripes (western spadefoot toad)
Lineage: Eukaryota; Metazoa; Chordata; Amphibia; Anura; Pelobatidae
Source: the annotation of a GenBank genome assembly
AGAAGUUUAACCUGCUGCCAAGUUGUUCAGGUCUGGUUUAAAACAAUGUUUCUUUGAGAUGUAGAGGGAUGAGACAAAUGGAGGGGUGGAGGAUGAACCACAUAGAGGGUUGGGGAAAUGAGACACAUGGAGAGGCUGAUGAAGCUGGGGAGGUGUGAGACACAUGGAGCUGCUGGGGGGAGGGGAUGAGAAACAUGGAAGACUGGGGAUAGUGAGAUGUAUGGAAGGGCUGUAGGGAAAAAGAUGCAUGGGGGGAUCCAGGGUAAUUUUUGUAUCAGGGCCCAGUGAUUUCUAGUUAUGCCUAUGUGUGCAUCCCAACAAUUCUGACACACUGAAC